RNAcentral lists this ribosomal RNA (1453 nucleotides) under Salmonella enterica subsp. enterica serovar Typhimurium. RNAcentral's name for it is "partial 23S ribosomal RNA". It matches the Rfam family "Bacterial large subunit ribosomal RNA", at positions 566 to 1874 of the family's 2925-position model. The record is from RNAcentral. Lineage: Bacteria; Pseudomonadati; Pseudomonadota; Gammaproteobacteria; Enterobacterales; Enterobacteriaceae.
GCUGAGGAUACGGUUAACGGAGCGAAAGCGACGUUCAACCGCAAAACAAGCAGAGGGGGCUUAGUGGUGGGGUGACUGCGUACCUUUUGUAUAAUGGGUCAGCGACUUAUAUUCUGUAGCAAGGUUAACCGUAUAGGGGAGCCGGAGGGAAACCGAGUCUUAACCGGGCGUUAAGUUGCAGGGUAUAGACCCGAAACCCGGUGAUCUAGCCAUGGGCAGGUUGAAGGUUGGGUAACACUAACUGGAGGACCGAACCGACUAAUGUUGAAAAAUUAGCGGAUGACCUGUGGCUGGGGGUGAAAGGCCAAUCAAACCGGGAGAUAGCUGGUUCUCCCCGAAAGCUAUUUAGGUAGCGCCUCGUGAAUUCAUCUCCGGGGGUAGAGCACUGUUUCGGCUAGGGGGCCAUCCCGGCUUACCAACCCGAUGCAAACUGCGAAUACCGGAGAAUGUUAUCACGGGAGACACACGGCGGGUGCUAACGUCCGUCGUGAAGAGGGAAACAACCCAGACCGCCAGCUAAGGUCCCAAAGUCAUGGUUAAGUGGGAAACGAUGUGGGAAGGCCCAGACAGCCAGGAUGUUGGCUUAGAAGCAGCCAUCAUUUAAAGAAAGCGUAAUAGCUCACUGGUCGAGUCGGCCUGCGCGGAAGAUGUAACGGGGCUAAACCAUGCACCGAAGCUGCGGCAGCGAACGUAUCACCCAAGACAACUUUACGGAGUUGACGAUUGACGGAGCGAAGCGACGUCAAAGCGUUCAUUAAAGUCGAGUUGGCUUAGGGAUACGUUCGUUGGGUAGGGGAGCGUUCUGUAAGCCUGUGAAGGUGUGUCGUGAGGCAUGCUGGAGGUAUCAGAAGUGCGAAUGCUGACAUAAGUAACGAUAAAGCGGGUGAAAAGCCCGCUCGCCGGAAGACCAAGGGUUCCUGUCCAACGUUAAUCGGGGCAGGGUGAGUCGACCCCUAAGGCGAGGCCGAAAGGCGUAGUCGAUGGGAAACGGGUUAAUAUUCCCGUACUUGGUGUUACUGCGAAGGGGGGACGGAGAAGGCUAUGUUGGCCGGGCGACGGUUGUCCCGGUUUAAGCGUGUAGGUGUGUGUUCCAGGUAAAUCCGGUUCACUUUAACACUGAGGCGUGACGACGAGGCACUACGGUGCUGAAGCAACAAAUGCCCUGCUUCCAGGAAAAGCCUCUAAGCAUCAGGUAACACGAAAUCGUACCCCAAACCGACACAGGUGGUCAGGUAGAGAAUACCAAGGCGCUUGAGAGAACUCGGGUGAAGGAACUAGGCAAAAUGGUGCCGUAACUUCGGGAGAAGGCACGCUGACACGUAGGUGAAGUGAUUUACUCAUGGAGCUGAAGUCAGUCGAAGAUACCAGCUGGCUGCAACUGUUUAUUAAAAACACAGCACUGUGCAAACACGAAAGUGGACGUAUACGGUGUGACGCCUGCCCGGUGCCGGAA